Molecule: ribosomal RNA, 588 nt
Filed under: uncultured bacterium
Lineage: Bacteria
Description: bacterial SSU rRNA
Rfam family: Bacterial small subunit ribosomal RNA
Source: RNAcentral
CCUACGGGAGGCAGCAGUGGGGAAUUUUUCGCAAUGGGGGCAACCCUGACGAAGCAAUGCCGCGUGGAUGUAGAAGGCCUUCGGGUUGUAAAGUCCUUUCGUGGGGGACGAAAAGGCGGAUCCGAACACGGUCUGCUAUUGACGUGGACCCAAGAAGAAGCACCGGCUAACUCCGUGCCAGCAGCCGCGGUAAUACGGAGGGUGCGAGCGUUAAUCGGAAUUACUGGGCGUAAAGGGCGCGUAGGCGGUGGGUUACGUCUGCCGUGAAAUCCCCGGGCUCAACCUGGGAAUGGCGGUGGAAACGGGCUGACUGGAGUAUGGGAGAGGGUGAUGGAAUUCCAGGUGUAGCGGUGAAAUGCGUAGAGAUCUGGAGGAACACCAGUGGCGAAGGCGGUCACCUGGCCCAAUACUGACGCUGAGGCGCGAAAGCGUGGGGAGCAAACAAGGAUUAGAUACCUGGGUAGUCCACGCCCUAAACGAUGGAUACUGGAUGUUUGGCGCCUUAAGUGCUGAGUGUCGUACUAACGCGAUAAGUAUCCCGCCUGGGAAGUACGGCCGCAAGGUUAAAACUCAAAGGAAUUGACGGGG